GCGGGCCGUGAGAGCGGGAGCCCGGAGAUGGGCACUGAGACAAGGGCCCAGGCCCUACGGGGCGCAGCAGUCGCGAAAACUUUGCAAUACACGAAAGUGUGACAGGGCUAUCCCGAGUGCCAUCCGCUGAGGAAGGCUUUUACCCAGUCUAGAACGCUGGGGGAAUAAGGAGAGGGCAAGUCUGGUGUCAGCCGCCGCGGUAAUACCAGCUCUCCGAGUGGUGUGGAUGUUUAUUGGGCCUAAAGCAUCCGUAGCUGGCUAAGUUAGUCC
Molecule: ribosomal RNA, 270 nt
Filed under: uncultured crenarchaeote
Lineage: Archaea; Thermoproteati; Thermoproteota
Description: partial 16S ribosomal RNA
Rfam family: Archaeal small subunit ribosomal RNA
Source: RNAcentral